UAGAGGCGAGGCGGCCCGGGAGCGCGCRGGGGCCUGGCCAGGCGGCGGGUGCCCGCGGAGAACGCCUGAGCCCGCGGCGGCAGCUGCAGCACUGGCCGGGCGGAGGAGGCGCGGCGCGGGGGGUCCUUCAGGCGCGCGGAGAACGCCUCAGCGCCAGACACAAUGGUGGGGUGUCCCCGGGCGCCCCUCAUCCCCCUCCGCCCCCAUUGCCCGSCGACAGUGGCCUCCAAAACGCGUUUGCUGUGCCCUACACCAUGGAAACACAGCACGGCUGUCAUGGAGCCCUCAACCGCAGUUCAGUCGCCGGGAGCCGUUGYUUCGUUUGUCUUGCAGGAAACUGGGGCCACARAUUCCUCAUCCUUCUGUGCCAACAAUAUUGGUCAUCAACUCCUGGCCGAGAAAACCCCGCAGAAUUCCCGACCAUCAAUAAGAGCUGAGACCUUUGCUUCGAGGAAGUGUUACUGAGCUGCACAGGAGUUGUGUAACACCCUUGUCCAGAGCUUUGACAAAUUCAUGGCAGUCCUAUUCCCAUCAGGAAGGUCCAGCSAUGGGGAUGGGGAUCCAUUCAGCCCCGUGUGUGUGCAGGAGUGUCUUUGGUGUUCCUUAAAGAUGAAAUCGAUGUGUAUAGGGUGUCCUUAAYGGGAGCCUACGGAUUGUGAGUGCUCCCUCUCAGCACAUUGAUGCUUUCAUGUUUUCUUGGCUAAGCAAAUCUUUGUAUUUUCCCCCUCCUUUUCCUCAGCACCGAUUAAACUCCCCGGGCAUAUUUACACAAAAAUCUCUCUUCUUUUCAAGGCAGAAACACUUUGUCUUCCCAGCAGAUUYUGAACCUCAAGAUGAUUGCAGCAAUUUUGCCAGUUAGUGAAGAGAACCGACUUUACCUCAUGUAUCUGGCAAUUCUGCAAUGCCAUUUGCAUAAUGUGAAGUUUAGAUCUUCCUUUGUCACAUGCUCCCACUCRUUUACCACCCUAAUGUCCAUGGGAAGUGCAUGAUGGAAAUGCUGGAACAUUCCUGGUUCUUUGUUUCAGACAAGGCUUGCAUUGAACCAGUUGCUUAAUUUUCCCCAAUUCCUUCAGCACUGCAGGAGUUCCCAACAUUUGUCCUCCCAAUGUGCUGAUCUGAAUUGCUCUAUCGUUUGUGCUGCAUUCUCUAAUAGCUCCUUCUAAAUAAAAUGCCUUUAUAGCAUCAAGGAAAAUAACAAGCUCUUUGAAACCCCAUUCUUCCUUAUUUUUUUCCCCCAUAAACUGUAAAAAUCUGCAUAUCUGAAUGAUGCAGCUUCAUCCUGAUCUGAAGCGACACKGCUUUUCUCUCACUACUCCCUCUAAAACCAGCUCUGCUCCGCUGGCUGCGAUUUUUGUGGCAUUUUCUUUCUCUAUGCUGACAAUAAACUUUCACCUCCAUAAUUAUUUUGAUCAGCAGAGUCACCUUUUGCCAGGAUUGAGGCAAGGAUUGCCUUCAGCCAGGCACCUGCGA
Malurus melanocephalus (red-backed fairy wren) is the source of this 1470-nucleotide long non-coding RNA. RefSeq lists it as uncharacterized. NCBI's taxonomy places the organism in Eukaryota, Metazoa, Chordata, Aves, Passeriformes, Maluridae. The record is from RefSeq and is a predicted model, not a curated record.